Molecule: long non-coding RNA, 98 nt
Organism: Cotesia glomerata
Lineage: Eukaryota; Metazoa; Arthropoda; Insecta; Hymenoptera; Braconidae
Exons: 3
Source: RefSeq, a predicted model, not a curated record
CGAUGUCCGCUGUACUGAUUGAAACUAUAAAAAUUAACCAGAAUCCGAGUGAAUUUUACAGUUUACUUUUUUCCGUUACAUAAUUUUUUUAAAUUAAA